GCUCCCUCAGGACAUGCCUUCGAG
Molecule: non-coding RNA, 24 nt
Filed under: Arabidopsis thaliana (thale cress)
Lineage: Eukaryota; Viridiplantae; Streptophyta; Magnoliopsida; Brassicales; Brassicaceae
Source: RNAcentral